This 77-nucleotide transfer RNA is filed under the name Deltaproteobacteria bacterium. Its description in RNAcentral is "tRNA-Arg". It matches the Rfam family "tRNA". From Rfam's summary of the family: Transfer RNA (tRNA) molecules are approximately 80 nucleotides in length. Their secondary structure includes four short double-helical elements and three loops (D, anti-codon, and T loops). Further hydrogen bonds mediate the characteristic L-shaped molecular structure. tRNAs have two regions of fundamental functional importance: the anti-codon, which is responsible for specific mRNA codon recognition, and the 3' end, to which the tRNAs corresponding amino acid is attached (by aminoacyl-tRNA synthetases). tRNAs cope with the degeneracy of the genetic code in two manners: having more than one tRNA (with a specific anti-codon) for a particular amino acid; and 'wobble' base-pairing, i.e. permitting non-standard base-pairing at the 3rd anti-codon position. Lineage: Bacteria; Pseudomonadati; Myxococcota; Myxococcia. The record is from RNAcentral.
GCGCCCAUAGCUCAGUUGGAUAGAGCAGCGGUCUACGGAACCGCAGGUCAGAAGUUCGAAUCUUCUUGGGCGCGCCG